RNAcentral lists this ribosomal RNA (433 nucleotides) under uncultured bacterium. RNAcentral describes it as "partial 16S ribosomal RNA". It matches the Rfam family "Bacterial small subunit ribosomal RNA", at positions 29 to 507 of the family's 1533-position model. The record is from RNAcentral.
AACGAACGCUGGCGGCAUGCCUAACACAUGCAAGUCGAACGAGACCUUCGGGUAUCUUGGCGCACGGGUGCGUAACGCGUGGGAACCUGCACUUAGGUUCGGAAUAACUCCCCGAAAGGGGUGCUAAUAACGGAUAAUGUCUUCGGUCAAAAGAUUUAUCGCCGUUGGAUGGGCCCGCCUUAGAUUAGCUAGUUGGUAGAGUAAAAGCCUACCAAGGCUACGAUGCAUUGCUGGUCUGAGCGGAUGACCAGCCACCCUGGGACUGAGACACGGCCCAGACUCCUACGGGAGGAAGCAGUGGGGAAUAUUGGACAAUGGGCGAAAGCCUGAGCCAUCAAUGCCGCGUGAGUGAUGAAGGCCUUAGGGUUGUAAAGCUCUUUUACCCGGGAUGAUAAUGACAGUACCGGGAGAAUAAGCCCCGGCUAACUCCGUG